Molecule: ribosomal RNA, 253 nt
Filed under: uncultured bacterium
Lineage: Bacteria
Description: partial 16S ribosomal RNA
Rfam family: Bacterial small subunit ribosomal RNA
Source: RNAcentral
UACGUAGGGUCCAAGCGUUAAUCGGAAUUACUGGGCGUAAAGCGUGUGUAGGCGGUUUCGCAAGUCCGAUGUGAAAUCCCCGGGCUUAACCUGGGAACUGCGUUGGAAACUACGAAGCUAGAGUGCGGCAGAGGGGGGUGGAAUUCCAGGUGUAGCAGUGAAAUGCGUAGAGAUCUGGAGGAACACCGAUGGCGAAGGCAGCCCCCUGGGCUAGCACUGACGCUGAUACACGAAAGCGUGGGGAGCAAACAGG